GACGAACGCUGGCGGCGUGCUUAACACAUGCAAGUCGAACGGAAAGGCCCUGCUUUUGUGGGGUGCUCGAGUGGCGAACGGGUGAGUAACACGUGAGUAACCUGCCCUUGACUUUGGGAUAACUUCAGGAAACUGGGGCUAAUACCGGAUAGGAGCUCCUGCUGCAUGGUGGGGGUUGGAAAGUUUCGGCGGUUGGGGAUGGACUCGCGGCUUAUCAGCUUGUUGGUGGGGUAGUGGCUUACCAAGGCUUUGACGGGUAGCCGGCCUGAGAGGGUGACCGGCCACAAUGGGACUGAGAUACGGCCCAGACUCCUACGGGAGGCAGCAGUGGGGAAUAUUGCACAAUGGGCGGAAGCCAGAUGCAGCAACGCCGCGUGCGGGAUGACGGCCUUCGGGUUGUAAACCGCUUUCGCCUGUGACGAAGCGUGAGUGACGGUAAUGGGUAAAGAAGCACCGGCUAACUACGUG
This 468-nucleotide ribosomal RNA is filed under the name uncultured bacterium. RNAcentral describes it as "partial 16S ribosomal RNA". It matches the Rfam family "Bacterial small subunit ribosomal RNA", at positions 28 to 507 of the family's 1533-position model. The record is from RNAcentral.